Molecule: long non-coding RNA, 246 nt
Organism: Quercus lobata
Lineage: Eukaryota; Viridiplantae; Streptophyta; Magnoliopsida; Fagales; Fagaceae
Exons: 3
Source: RefSeq, a predicted model, not a curated record
CUGAUUCCCUUUUUUGUGCCCAAGGAUGGACCUCCCACCAGAUGGUGCAUAUGGCCCACCAUUUGCACCUUCUCCACUGUCCAUUAAGACCGUGUGGGUCGUGAGCACCUUGAAUAGCCCCGCCAAAAUCUGUUUGGUCCGGUACCGUCAGCUUUUAGAUUGUAUGCAUCCAAAGCAGGUGGUGUGGCAACCAUAUGAAGUUGAAUUAGCCCGCCUGCCUGCGUUCUAUGUCGCUGGAUGGGAGGU